This 375-nucleotide ribosomal RNA is filed under the name uncultured organism. Its description in RNAcentral is "partial 16S ribosomal RNA". It matches the Rfam family "Bacterial small subunit ribosomal RNA", at positions 527 to 896 of the family's 1533-position model. The record is from RNAcentral.
GUAGGUGGCAAGCGUUGUCCGGGAAUUAUUGGGGCGUAAAGCGCGCGCAGGUGGUUCAUUAAGUCUGAUGUGAAAGCCCCCGGGCUCAACCGGGGAGGGUCAUUGGAAACUGGGGAACUUGAGUGCAGGAGAGGAAAGUGGAAUUCCACGUGUAGCGGUGAAAUGCGUAGAUAUGUGGAGGAACACCAGUGGCGAAGGCGACUUUCUGGCCUGUAACUGACACUGAGGCGCGAAAGCGUGGGGAGCAAACAGGAUUAGAUACCCUGGUAGUCCACGCCGUAAACGAUGAGUGCUAAGUGUUGGGGGGUUUCCGCCCCUCAGUGCUGCAGCUAACGCAUUAAGCACUCCGCCUGGGGAGUACGGUCGCAAAGACUG